This 196-nucleotide non-coding RNA is filed under the name Nitrospirota bacterium. Lineage: Bacteria; Pseudomonadati; Nitrospirota. The record is from RNAcentral.
GGCGAUGGGCCCGCCUAGGGUGGCCGCUGCCUCGCUGGGGUGACGGGAAGGGGGUGUGAAUCCCCCACGGACCCGCCGCUGUGAUGGGUGAGGUGGCCGCAGUUGCCAUUGGCCUUCGGGCUGAGAAGGCGCGGCCGCCGCGGAGCCUCGGCUCCCCACCCUGAGUCAGAAGACCGCCCCCGGCCUUUGAUCGAAA